CAGUCGCCGCGGUAAUACAGAGGGUGCGAGCGUUAAUCGGAUUUACUGGGCGUAAAGCGUGCGUAGGCGGCUUUUUAAGUCGGAUGUGAAAUCCCUGAGCUUAACUUAGGAAUUGCAUUCGAUACUGGGAAGCUAGAGUAUGGGAGAGGAUUGUAGAAUUCCAGGUGUAGCGGUGAAAUGCGUAGAGAUCUGGAGGAAUACCGAUGGCGAAGGCAUCCAUCUGGCCUAAUACUGACGCUGAGGUACGAAAGCAUGGGGAGCAAACAGGAUUAGAUACCCCUGUAGUCCCUGUCUCUUAUAC
This 301-nucleotide ribosomal RNA is filed under the name uncultured bacterium. RNAcentral describes it as "partial 16S ribosomal RNA". It matches the Rfam family "Bacterial small subunit ribosomal RNA", at positions 509 to 807 of the family's 1533-position model. The record is from RNAcentral.